Long non-coding RNA from Hyaena hyaena (striped hyena), 364 nucleotides. RefSeq lists it as uncharacterized. The record is from RefSeq and is a predicted model, not a curated record. Lineage: Eukaryota; Metazoa; Chordata; Mammalia; Carnivora; Hyaenidae. The transcript is spliced from 3 exons.
AUGUGUACACUAAUCACACAAGCACAUGCAUGUAGACUUUUUCUUAUACACACUGCCGUGCCCAUAGCAGCUCAUCUGACAAGGGUAGAUUCUCACAGGAGAUGCUUGAAGUGCCGCAUCCCCUCCGGACCCAAGACCUGGAUCUAAGGAGCUCUAGAAGAACAGCCAAGAGCCCAGAAGCCAUGCCCCUCCUCUAGACCCUUCCCCUACCUACUUCGGGAAGGCUCCCCUCUCCACCAGCGGUCGCCUGCCAUCUGACGGGGAGCCCCCUUCUCCAAUGGGCGGUGCAGGACCCCAGGCCUGGGCCUGGGCCUGGGGCAGCAGCAAAACAGAGCCACCCAAAACAAGAGAGGAGAAUCAGAAA